Molecule: long non-coding RNA, 670 nt
Organism: Oncorhynchus tshawytscha (Chinook salmon)
Lineage: Eukaryota; Metazoa; Chordata; Actinopteri; Salmoniformes; Salmonidae
Source: Ensembl
UGAGUAACAACAGUCAGGAAGAUAAUACCAAACUGUUAGUUAGGUUUACUGAGUAACAACAGUCAUUAAGAUAAUACCAAACUGUCAGUUAGGUUUACUGAGUAACAACAGUCAGGAAGACAAUACCAAACUGUCAGUUAGGUUUACUGAGUAACAACAGUCAUUAAGAUAAUACCAAACUGUCAGUUAGGUUUACUGAGUAACAACAGUCAUGAAGACAAUACCAAACUGUCAGUUAGGUUUACUGAGUAACAACAGUCAUGAAGACAAUACCAAACUGCCAGUUAGGUUUACUGAGUAACAACAGUCAGGAAGAUAAUACCAAUCUGUCAGUUAGGUUUACUGAGUAACAACAGUCAGGAAGAUAAUACCAAACUGUCCGUUAGGUUUACUGAGUAACAACAGUCAGGAAGAUAAUACCAAACUGUCAGUUAGGUUUACUGAGUAACAACAGUCAGGAAGAUAAUACCAAACUGUCAGUUAGGUUUACUGAGUAACAACAGUCAUUGAGAUAAUACCAAACUGUCAGUUAGGUUUACUGAGUAACAACAGUCAGGAAGAUAAUACCAAACUGUCAGUUAGGUUUACUGAGUAACAACAGUCAGGAAGAUAAUACCAAACUGUCAGUUAGGUUUACUGAGUAACACCAGUCAGGAAGAUAAUACCAAAC